This 253-nucleotide ribosomal RNA is filed under the name uncultured bacterium. Its description in RNAcentral is "partial 16S ribosomal RNA". It matches the Rfam family "Bacterial small subunit ribosomal RNA", at positions 524 to 776 of the family's 1533-position model. The record is from RNAcentral.
GACAGAGGUGGCAAGCGUUGUUCGGUGUUACUGGGCUUAAAGCGUGUGUAGGCGGGGAAGUAAGCAUUUUGUGAAAUCCCUCAGCUCAACUGAGGAAUUGCUGGAUGUACUGCUUCUCUUGAGGCAAGUAGGGGUGCGCGGAACUCUUGGUGGAGCGGUGGAAUGCGUAGAUAUCAAGAGGAACGCCGGCGGUGAAGACGGUGCACUGGGCUUGUCCUGACGCUGAGACACGAAAGCGUGGGGAGCAAACAGG